RNAcentral lists this ribosomal RNA (305 nucleotides) under uncultured bacterium. Its description in RNAcentral is "bacterial SSU rRNA". It matches the Rfam family "Bacterial small subunit ribosomal RNA", at positions 334 to 658 of the family's 1533-position model. The record is from RNAcentral.
UACCCUACGGGAGGCAGCAGUGGGGAAUAUUGCACAAUGGGGGAAACCCUGAUGCAGCGAUGCCGCGUGGAGGAAGAAGGUUUUCGGAUUGUAAACUCCUUUUAUCAGGGACGAUAAUGACGGUACCUGAAGAAAAAGCUCCGGCUAACUCCGUGCCAGCAGCCGCGGUAAUACGGAGGAUGCGAGCGUUAUCCGGAUUUAUUGGGUUUAAAGGGUGCGCAGGCGGAGGUGCAAGUCAGCGGUCAAAUUGCGGGGCUCAACCCCGUACUGCCGUUGAAACUGCAUCCCUUGAGUGCGCGAGAAGU